Molecule: small RNA, 559 nt
Filed under: Pongo abelii (Sumatran orangutan)
Lineage: Eukaryota; Metazoa; Chordata; Mammalia; Primates; Hominidae
Description: retained intron
Source: RNAcentral
AAAGCCUUAUAACAGGCUGGGCGCAGUGGCUUACUCCAAUAAUCCCCACACUUUGGGAGGCCCAGGUGGGAGGAUCACUUGAGCCCAGGAGUUCCUAGACUAGCCUGGGCAACAUAGGGAGAACCUGUCUCUAAAAAACAUAAUAGUAAUAUAAUAAAGCCUUAGUACAGGCUAAUAUAUGGCAAGUAAAUGUUAGCUGAUAUUGUUGGUAUUGAUAAAAGGAAGGAUCAGGUGGAGAAGGGAGCUGAGGCCAGAAAGGAGCCCAGUUCUAGAAGAGUAUAACCUGGGUCCUUCCUGCAGGACAGUGCCUUGGUAAUGACCAGGGCUCCAGGAAGAGAUGUCCUUGUGGCUGGGGGCCCCUGUGCCUGACAUUCCUCCUGACUCUGCGGUGGAGCUGUGGAAGCCAGGCGCACAGGAUGCAAGCAGCCAGGCCCAGGGAGGCAGCAGCUGCAUCCUCAGAGAGGAAGCCAGGAUGCCCCACUCUGCCGGGGGUACUGCAGGGGUGGGGCUGGAGGCUGCAGAGCCCACAGCCCUGCUCACCAGGGCAGAGCCCCCUUCA